CACAUCAUCUAGCUAAAGAUGAGGGCCACCCUAACGCUGCUGCUACCUCUCGUGUUCCUCCUCCUCGUGCUAGCACCAGCUAAGGCGAGUUAUGAUUGUACAAGCCAUAUCGUCGCGUGCAAGGACAAACCCGAACCACCUUGUCCGUGCAACCAGGCGGAGUGUAACUUCGACAGUCGCAUAGCGUACGGUCACCUUGGGUGCCCGAAAUCUGCGACCAGCUGCUCUUGGACAGGACUGUGCAUGAGUCAGGGGUGUAACUUCACCUACUGCGUAUAUAGAUAAGAUAGGCAGGCAUGUCGACCUGAUAGAAUAACAAAGAUGAUACCAUGGAUGGCAAUGCAGUAUGUAGUUUUAUUCGCUGCAAAGUGAUGUACGUGAAUGGUGAAUUAUUUACAUGCCUACCAUGGAUAUGUCUCGUUUUUCAUAUUAUCCUGAAAUAAAAAGUGUUCACUUUAGAGUCAA
Molecule: long non-coding RNA, 465 nt
Organism: Triticum aestivum (bread wheat)
Lineage: Eukaryota; Viridiplantae; Streptophyta; Magnoliopsida; Poales; Poaceae
Exons: 2
Source: RefSeq, a predicted model, not a curated record